Lentinula detonsa is the source of this 86-nucleotide non-coding RNA. Lineage: Eukaryota; Fungi; Basidiomycota; Agaricomycetes; Agaricales; Omphalotaceae. The record is from the annotation of a GenBank genome assembly.
GCCCGCCUAGCUCAAUCGGAUAGAGCGUCAGACUCUUAUAGAUCAAUUUGAUCUGAAGGCUGCGAGUUCGACCCUCGCGGUGGGCU